UCCGUAGGUGGAUAAUUAAGUCAGAGGUGAAAUCCUGCAGCUCAACUGUAGAAUUGCCUUUGAUACUGGUUAUCUUGAGUCAUUAUGAAGUGGUUAGAAUGUGUAGUGUAGCGGUGAAAUGCAUAGAUAUUACACAGAAUACCGAUUGCGAAGGCAGAUCACUAAUAAUGUACUGACACUGAGGUACGAAAGCGUGGGGAGCGAACAGGAUUAGAUACCCUGGUAGUC
RNAcentral lists this ribosomal RNA (228 nucleotides) under uncultured bacterium. Its description in RNAcentral is "partial 16S ribosomal RNA". It matches the Rfam family "Bacterial small subunit ribosomal RNA", at positions 568 to 795 of the family's 1533-position model. The record is from RNAcentral.